UGUCCAGGGAAGGGAAUCGAACCCACAGUGUUCCGCUUACCGGGCAGAUGCCAUGUCCACUAGGCUACCGC
This 71-nucleotide transfer RNA is filed under the name Cordylochernes scorpioides. RNAcentral's name for it is "tRNA-Thr". Lineage: Eukaryota; Metazoa; Arthropoda; Arachnida; Pseudoscorpiones; Chernetidae. The record is from RNAcentral.